Molecule: long non-coding RNA, 3896 nt
Filed under: Marmota monax (woodchuck)
Lineage: Eukaryota; Metazoa; Chordata; Mammalia; Rodentia; Sciuridae
Source: RNAcentral
GGAGGCUGAAGCAGGAGAAUUUCUAAUUCAAAGCCUCAGCAACAGCGAGGCACUGUCUCUAAAUAAAACUCAGUGAGACCCUGUCUCUAAAUAAAAAAUAGGGCUGGGGAUGUGGCUCACUGGUUGAGUGCCCAGAGUUCAAUCCCCUGUGUCCCCUACCAAAAAAAAUUAAAAUAGAGCCCACCCUAUAGUAGAUCUUCUCAUAUGCCAUUGAUUCAAAUCAAAUAGGAAACUUUAAAGUGCCAGUGUAUGUAUGAGUACUAAUGAGGCUUAUUUGUUUAUUCUUAGAGUGCUGAGGAGCAAACCAAGGGUCUUGAGUAUACUAAAUGUGCAUUGUCCCUGAGCUACAUCCCUAGCCCUGAGUCCAUUUGUUUUACAAAAGCAUAAGGUUUGCUCUUAGAUAUUGAAGGACAAAUGAUCAAAAAUAUGAUAGGAAAAUGGAAAAAAAAAUGUGCAGACAAUACACAAAAGAGAAAAUAUCCCUAAAAUGUAUUUUAAAAAUUCACAAAAAAAACCUAAAACAUGAGCUCAUGGAUGUAAAUUUUCUUCGGUAUACUAACCUUUGUACUCUAUAUGUAUCCCAUAGCAUUAUGUUCUAAAUGUUAGAUAUACCCAAUAUAAUUGUUUUUUAGAAAUUCAAACAUAAGAAAAAGUGCAAAUUUAAACUGAGAUGUCAUUCCUCACCUGUGAGACAGGAUGUAAAAGUGACAUUGCUACAUUCUGUUGGUGAGGCACCCUUGUGUUGGUGGAAGUGCAAAUUGGAACUACCCUUCUGAAAGGGAAUUUGGCAGUAUUUAAUGAAAUUACUUGUAUACUGGCUGCUGACCCAGCAAUCCUACUUCUAGAGCUCUACCCUGAUGACACAACACAGAAAGCUCACAUGAACAAGGACACUCUUGGCAACAUUAGUAGUAAUUGUAAAAUAUCGAUUUGAAAAUUGCCCAAAUGUCUACACAUAGGAGAGUGAUUGGAUGAACAAGGUACCCCCACACAAUAGAAUUGUGCAGAGCUGGGGGAAAAAAAGUUUGAGGAUGUUGGGCAUGAUGGUACAUGCCUGUAAUCCCAGUGGCUUGGGAGGCUGAAGCAGGAGGAUUGUGAGUUCAAAGCCAGCCUCAGCAACUUAGGUGCUAAGCAACUCGGUGAGACCCUAUCUCUAAAAUUUUAUUAAAAGGGGCUGUGGCUGUGGCUCAGUGGUCAAAGUGCCCCUGAAUUCAAUCCCCAGUACGGGUCAGGUGCAGGGAGCAAGGGGAGGGAAGCUUAAGGAAGAAGAUCUCUAUGAAUUGAUGUCUUAAUUUCCAGGAUAUAUUGUUUAAGUGAGAAAAGCCAAGUGCAAAAGCAUUUACAGUUUAUAAUAAGGCAGUUUAAGCAAAUAAACACAUAUUUACUCGUCUGUGCAAAAGAAACAGAAUAAGCCAGAAGCUAGCUAGCAAAAGAGGGAUGGAUAUGGUGGAAAGCAUUGGGAAUGGGGUGGUUGAGAUAAGGGGAGAUUGACACUAAACUAUAACCAUGUUUCACAUGCCCCAAAUGAAAUUAAAAUCAGGAACUCAAAAUGAAAUUCAAAGUAAUUCAUGAAUCUAAUUACAAAUACAGAAUAUUAAUUACCACACUGUAGAGAAGAAAGCCAACAUGUAACUCUGGAAAAUGGUGUAGCCACUGUAUGAUAUAAGCCUAAAUACAAAAUGAACUAUACACAAAUAAUUAUACUCCAGUAAGGUGUUAUGAAUUGGUAAUUCUAAAACUGCCUUAAGUGUAUACCAAGAUUGAGCAAAAAAGUUAGGGAUACAAUAUGGAUGAAAGCAUAUGUUAUGGAGAAUUGAAUUUCUUAUUGCAAAUAAGAAAUGUUUGAACCAGGCAUGGUGGUACACACUUGUAAUCCCAGUGACUGGGGAGUCUGAGGCAGGAGGAUCACAAGUUUGAAGCUAGCCUUAACAACUUAGUGAGACCCUGUCUCAAAAAAUUAAAAGGGCUGGUGGUCAAGUUCAGUGGGUUCAAUCCUCAGUACUAGUAAAAAAAAGUUGGGAAAGAAUUCCUGUGAUGUCAGAUUGGAACUGGAGAUACUAGAAGUUUAAGGAGUUUAUUGUAUGUGCAAAUACAUAAAUUUAAAAAUAUGCAUAUACAUACAUGUUUUUCCCAGCUUUGUCUAUAGAGAGGGUCUAUAAGCAAAGACAUCCUAGUAGCAAUGAGCACACCUACUGCUCAGAUACCGAUUUCGAAUUAGAGUCUCUAAUGAAUAGAACUCUGGCUUCUUGGAGAAGUGGUGAUUCCUGGGCUGGGCCAGGGAAAUUAGAAAAUGAGUUUGGAACAUCUUGUGAUGCCAAGGAAAAGUAAGGAAGGUUUUGCAAAAUGAUUGGAGAGAGAAGAGAUAAAGGGCACUCUGAGUCUUCUUGUGGCUUCUUAUGAGCAACUCUGAAACAAUUUAAACUCACAGUAGCAAUGGACUGUAAACCAUGGCAGGAAACAAAUACCCAUGAGUUUAUAUUGAUCCAUAUGAUGAGAAGGUAAAUGAAGGGGAUCAAGCUGCUUUUCCUUACAUUAGAACACCAAUUAGUAGUGCAUUCCUGUAAUCCCAGUGGCUCAGGAGGCUGAGGCAGGAGGAUCCCAAGUUCCAAGCCAGCCUCAGCAACUUAGCCAAGACCCUGUCUCAAAAUAUAAAUAAAUCAAAAGGGCUGGGGAUGUGGCUCAGAAUAAGUUAUUCACCCCUGAGUUGAAUCUCCAAUUACCAAAAGGAAUGCUAAUUAGUAAAGAUAGAUGACAUGAUGUAAACCAAAUCACCAAGCAACACUAUCCUGAAAGGCAGGAAUCAGCGCUAAAAUUAGUAAUCAUGACAAGAAACAAUAUGUGCACAGUCUCGGAAUAUUUUCACUCCAGGUGAGGUGGGAUAGGAUAAAUAAGGAUAGGUAGAAAGCAGACCAAUAGAGAAAGGGGAAAAAAACUAAACCAAAGAAGCUCCAGGAACACUCACCUUUGCUCCUCAUACUUCUUUUCCUCUAGACGUAACUUCCUAAAUUCUUUAAAAUCCCAUGACUCUUAGGGCAUUGUGAAUCUAGAUGAUUAAUGCCUACUUACAUUGCUAACAAAACAUUUUUUUCAGACUAAAUAAAGCCAAGAUAAAAUGGAGACUUGUAAUACAAGUCUUGGUUGUAUUGCAAACAUAUCAACUAGAUGAUGUUCACCUAGAGAUCCUGAAAGAACCAGACCACUGUGACCCACCGUAUGCACCAUGAUUAAGAAAACAGCUCACCAGACUGAUUCAUUUCCCACAUACUUCCCAUGUUCAUUAUUUACAAAGUUUCCUUUAAAAAAGCCAAAGACCCCAAAAGUGCAUCUCACUCUCUAGCACACGCUCCUCCUGCCUUUGAAUGCGUGCCCCACUGUAUUGGUUGCUGUCCUGAAUAAAUCUCCUUUGCUUUGCUAAAUAAAUCUGUUUGUGCUUCUCUUGACAUAUCUUGAAAUUCCUUUCAGCAGCAUAAGUCAAGAACCUGAGAUGAGGUUCCCUGCUCCCUUCUGGGGGACCUCCGCAGGCCCUAUCAGGUGACAAAGGUACUGUUUCAAAAGGAAAAAUGCUAACGUGGUGUAAAAACUGGCAGACCACCUUCAUCAAGAGAUCAGUAACACAUGAGGGCAGCAAGUACCUCCCGAUGGUUUGCCCAGGAAGAGCACGAUUCUGUGAUAUUGCCUGCAAUGAACCCAGUCAUGAGGUGACCUCAGGCAAACCCAAUUGAGCAACAUUGAACAAAGUAGCCAGUGCUCUUCGUACAUAUCAAGGUAGAAAAGAAAUGUGGAACUGUCACAGGAGGAGAUAAGGAGACAUAUGAUAACUAAGUGCAAUGUAGGAUCUUCCCAUGGGAACUUUGAACUGAUCAAUAAAAUUCAAUUUUGCCCAAAGGAAAAAGGAA